Sarcophilus harrisii (Tasmanian devil) is the source of this 638-nucleotide long non-coding RNA. RefSeq lists it as uncharacterized. The record is from RefSeq and is a predicted model, not a curated record. Lineage: Eukaryota; Metazoa; Chordata; Mammalia; Dasyuromorphia; Dasyuridae. The transcript is spliced from 5 exons.
AGAUGCUUCAAGGACCUAAAAAUACACCUGAAAGUUGAAAGAAAUGAGUGCUACAGCUUUCAGAACAUGGUAGCCCAAUUAAUCUUUUAAAUUUGCAUCUGUGAAUGGGACAUCUGGCAAAUGGGAAAUCUGUUGACUGGCUGGACCACAAGGAACUCCUAAGGAAAUGGGGAUUCCAACUUCCAAUCUUUUUACUGGUAUCACCUUGGGCAGGUGAAGGAAGAGAUAAUGGUUUGGUGUUGUGAAGGUUCAAAACAUGAAAGAGGAGAUCAUUGGAUGGCCACCUUUUCUGCUAGAGUAUGGGACCCAGUUGAGAGAGAGUACCAAGGCCACCUCAACCUUUGGUGCACAGAAGAUCCCCAAACCUAAAUUGGCUCCUAGGAGCACCAAGUUAUGAGAACACAUGUGAGAACAGAUAUGGAGAGGAGGAAGAUAGCUAUUGGUGAAGAAACCGAAGUCAGGAAACAUUAAGUGAUUGGCUAGGGCCAUAUAACCAGUAAGUACAGAGUUUGCAUUUGAGUUCUUCUCAAUUCCAAAUCUAUCCUAGCACAGAUUAGUUUAUAAUUCUUUUUUCUUCUAAAUUCUUAUAAUUCUUUAUAGCGUGUGGAUCCUAAGUUUUUACAUUCUUUUCUCCAAAU